GCCUGUUGCAAAGAGCUUUAUAGGUAUUGUCUUUAAUCCUUAGCAGGACCCUCUGAGAUGAGUGCUAUUCUCCCUAAUUUACAGAUGAGAAACUGAGGCUCAAGAGGUAUGUGAGCAUGCUUCUGCUCAGUAGAAGAAUUAGAGCCAGUUUGAGAUCACGUCCUGUUUAGCAAUAAGGACUAUGGGCUGGGCCUCUGUGUAAAACUUCUUUUCAUGCUAAUACUUUGCAAAAUAUCAAAGGUCUAAGUGAUUUAUUCACUUACCCUUUGGCUUCCCUCUGCUGUAGGAUGCUUGCUGGUGGGUGAGAGUCUUGCUGGCAAGUCUCGAACUUCCUGUCGAUUUCCUGAGGAUUUCCAUGCCAGGGUAUUACACACACAGGUCAUCCUGUGUGUCAUAAUGGGAGAAGCUUGAGCACCGUCACACCAUCCUGCUGCCCCCAAGAGAAGCAGCUCAGGCUCCUGGUGGUUUUUCUUGCAUGUUGUGUUCAGUCGAAGCAAUCUGUUUCUGAUGACCUGGCUAAAGAAAAUUAUGGGGUGCUUUUUCUCCCAGGAAACAUAAUUCUAGUCAUAGGUAUUGCCACUUUUCUUUGGUGCCUCACUGGCCUGCAAGCCCCUCCUGGAUCCCCUGCUGGACUGUGUCUUCCUGAGUUACCGUGACCCAGCUGCUGUACCUACUCCUUGUUGAAAAAUAAAGAAGAGUAGAAGUUGGGGACAACACACACCACAGACUUGACCCAAAUGCCUUUCUCCAUGGCAGAUCCAAGACUCCCUUUACUUUUCCAAAAGAACAGACGCCACAGUCAAUUUUGCACCCUAACGGGGCCGUGGGAUGAGUUUGGUGAGCCGCUUUCUAUUUUCCAGAACUAAUUAGAGAUAGAUAAAUUUAAAUGUUCUGGAAGCCAUCCAUAAAACACGAUACCAUCACUAGCGAUCCUGUGAUUUUCCUUUCGUAGGAAGGCCCGUGAGUCCUACGAAUUAGGCUCUGGCUAAUUGGUGGGGUGGGGCGGAUGAUACUAGCCCAUGCGUGUUCACGUGAGCCGUUGGGUCUUCCCUCCCCUCCGAGAUCAAUUACCUUGGCCCGGUGGGAGUAUUCACUCCCCAGAAACUGGCAAACGCCGUGUAAGCGCUGAUUAGAGCAUUCAUCAACAUCCCCCUCCUCGGUCUGUUCGACAAGAACUGGGUCCCGCUGUCCUUGAGGCAGGCGUACACACGCGCGUGCACACACGCGCACACACACA
Molecule: long non-coding RNA, 1237 nt
Filed under: Fukomys damarensis (Damara mole-rat)
Lineage: Eukaryota; Metazoa; Chordata; Mammalia; Rodentia; Bathyergidae
Description: lncRNA (ENSFDAG00000031941.1)
Source: RNAcentral